GAAAGAUAGGUCACACCGUGGUGACGGAAGAAUCGGGAUCACAACACCCACAGAGAAGAUCGAGGCAGGAAGGUGAGAGUGGCAACAGUUAGCAAAAGGAGAAAAGAGAAAGGUAGGGCU
Arachis ipaensis is the source of this 120-nucleotide non-coding RNA. NCBI's taxonomy places the organism in Eukaryota, Viridiplantae, Streptophyta, Magnoliopsida, Fabales, Fabaceae. The record is from RefSeq and is a predicted model, not a curated record.